This 890-nucleotide ribosomal RNA is filed under the name uncultured Streptococcus sp. RNAcentral's name for it is "bacterial SSU rRNA". It matches the Rfam family "Bacterial small subunit ribosomal RNA", at positions 74 to 949 of the family's 1533-position model. The record is from RNAcentral. Lineage: Bacteria; Bacillati; Bacillota; Bacilli; Lactobacillales; Streptococcaceae.
UGGUACUUGUACCGAUUGGAUGAGUUGCGAACGGGUGAGUAACGCGUAGGUAACCUGCCUGGUAGCGGGGGAUAACUAUUGGAAACGAUAGCUAAUACCGCAUAACAGUUGUGAUUGCAUGAUGACAACUUGAAAGGGGCAAUUGCUCCACUAUCAGAUGGACCUGCGUUGUAUUAGCUAGUUGGUGGGGUAACGGCUCACCAAGGCGACGAUACAUAGCCGACCUGAGAGGGUGAUCGGCCACACUGGGACUGAGACACGGCCCAGACUCCUACGGGAGGCAGCAGUAGGGAAUCUUCGGCAAUGGGGGCAACCCUGACCGAGCAACGCCGCGUGAGUGAAGAAGGUUUUCGGAUCGUAAAGCUCUGUUGUAAGAGAAGAACUGUAGCAGGAGUGGAAAAUCUGCUACUUGACGGUAUCUUACCAGAAAGGGACGGCUAACUACGUGCCAGCAGCCGCGGUAAUACGUAGGUCCCGAGCGUUAUCCGGAUUUAUUGGGCGUAAAGCGAGCGCAGGCGGUUAGAUAAGUCUGAAGUCAAAGGCUGUGGCUCAACCAUAGUUUGCUUUGGAAACUGUUUAACUUGAGUGCAAGAGGGGAGAGUGGAAUUCCAUGUGUAGCGGUGAAAUGCGUAGAUAUAUGGAGGAACACCUGUGGCGAAAGCGGCUCUCUGGCUUGUAACUGACGCUGAGGCUCGAAAGCGUGGGUAGCGAACAGGAUUAGAUACCCUGGUAGUCCACGCCGUAAACGAUGAGUGCUAGGUGUUAGGCCCUUUCCGGGGCUUAGUGCCGCAGCUAACGCAUUAAGCACUCCGCCUGGGGAGUACGACCGCAAGGUUGAAACUCAAAGGAAUUGACGGGGGCCCGCACAAGCGGUGGAGCAUGUGGUUUAA